GACGAACGCUGGCGGCGUGCUUAACACAUGCAAGUCGAGCGAUGAAGCACCUUCGGGUGUGGAUUAGCGGCGAACGGGUGAGGAACACGUGAGGAAUCUGCCUUUCACUUCGGGAUAACUCCGGGAAACCGGGGCUAAUACCGGAUAUUUUCAACUGGCGGCAUCGCCGGUUGAAGACAGUUUUUCGGUGAAAGAUGACCUCGCGGCCUAUCAGCUUGUUGGUGAGGGAAUGGUUCACCAAGGCGACGACGGGUAGCCGGCCUGAGAGGGCGAGCGGCCACACGGGGACUGUGACACGGCCCAGAAUCCUACGGGAGGCAGCAGUGGGGAAUAUUGGGCAAUGGAGGAAACUCUGACCCAGCGACGCCGCGUGAGGGAUGAAGGCCUUCGGGUUGUAAACCUCUUUCAGCAGGGAAUAAGCGAAAGUGAAGGUACCUGCAGAAGAAGCACCGGCUAACUAUGUGCCAGCCGCCGCGGUAA
Molecule: ribosomal RNA, 480 nt
Filed under: uncultured bacterium
Lineage: Bacteria
Description: partial 16S ribosomal RNA
Rfam family: Bacterial small subunit ribosomal RNA
Source: RNAcentral